Molecule: ribosomal RNA, 891 nt
Filed under: uncultured bacterium
Lineage: Bacteria
Description: bacterial SSU rRNA
Rfam family: Bacterial small subunit ribosomal RNA
Source: RNAcentral
AGAGUUUGAUCCUGGCUCAGGAUGAACGCUGGCGGCGUGCCUAAUACAUGCAAGUCGAGCGAACCACUUCGGUGGUGAGCGGCGAACGGGUGAGUAACACGUAGGUGAUCUGCCCAUCAGACGGGGACAACGAUUGGAAACGAUCGCUAAUACCGGAUAGGACGAAAGUUUAAAGGUGCUUCUGGCACCGCUGAUGGAUGAGCCUGCGGCGCAUUAGCUAGUUGGUAGGGUAAAGGCCUACCAAGGCGACGAUGCGUAGCCGACCUGAGAGGGUGAACGGCCACACUGGGACUGAGACACGGCCCAGACUCCUACGGGAGGCAGCAGUAGGGAAUCUUCGGCAAUGGGCGAAAGCCUGACCGAGCAACGCCGCGUGAAUGAUGAAGGCCUUCGGGUUGUAAAAUUCUGUUAUAAGGGAAGAACGACUUUAGUAGGAAAUGGCUAGAGUGUGACGGUACCUUAUGAGAAAGCCACGGCUAACUACGUGCCAGCAGCCGCGGUAAUACGUAGGUGGCGAGCGUUAUCCGGAAUUAUUGGGCGUAAAGAGCGCGCAGGUGGCUGAUUAAGUCUGAUGUGAAAGCCCACGGCUUAACCGUGGAGGGUCAUUGGAAACUGGUCGACUUGAGUGCAGAAGAGGGAAGUGGAAUUCCAUGUGUAGCGGUGAAAUGCGUAGAGAUAUGGAGGAACACCAGUGGCGAAGGCGGCUUCCUGGUCUGUAACUGACACUGAGGCGCGAAAGCGUGGGGAGCAAACAGGAUUAGAUACCCUGUAGUCCACGCCGUAAACGAUGAGUGCUAAGUGUUGGGGGUCGAACCUCAGUGCUGAAGUUAACGCAUUAAGCACUCCGCCUGGGAGUACGGUCGCAAGACUGAAACUCAAAGGAAUUGACGG